UUCCAGACUCCUACGGGAGGCAGCAGUGGGGAAUAUUGCACAAUGGGGGAAACCCUGAUGCAGCGACGCCGCGUGAGUGAAGAAGUAAUUCGUUAUGUAAAGCUCUAUCAGCAGGGAAGAAAAUGACGGUACCUGAGUAAGAAGCCCCGGCUAACUACGUGCCAGCAGCCGCGGUAAUACGUAGGGGGCAAGCGUUAUCCGGAUUUACUGGGUGUAAAGGGAGCGUAGACGGCAGUGCAAGUCUGGAGUGAAGGGCGGGGGCUCAACCCCCGGACUGCUCUGGAAACUGUACGGCUGGAGUGCAGGAGAGGUAAGUGGAAUUCCUAGUGUAGCGGUGAAAUGCGUAGAUAUUAGGAGGAACACCAGUGGCGAAGGCGGCUUACUGGACUGUAACUGACGUUGAGGCUCGAAAGCGUGGGGAGCAAACAGGAUUAGAUACCCGAGUA
Molecule: ribosomal RNA, 446 nt
Filed under: uncultured bacterium
Lineage: Bacteria
Description: bacterial SSU rRNA
Rfam family: Bacterial small subunit ribosomal RNA
Source: RNAcentral